CCUACGGGAGGCAGCAGUGAGGAAUAUUGGUCAAUGGGCGGAAGCCUGAACCAGCCAAGUCGCGUGAGGGAUUAAGGCCCUGCGGGUCGUAAACCUCUUUUGCCGGGGAGCAGAGGUCCGGACGUGUCCGGGCCGGGAGAGUACCAGGAGAAAAAGCCUCGGCUAACUCCGUGCCAGGAGCCGCGGUAAUACGGAGGAUGCGAGCGGUAUCCGGAUUUAUUGGGUUUAAAGGGUGCGUAGGCGGGCAUUUAAGCCGGCGGUCAAAUGUCGGGGCUCAACCCCGGCCUGCCGUCGGAACUGGGUGCCUUGAGUGGGCGAGAAGUAUGCGGAAUGCGUGGUGUAGCGGUGACAUGCAUAGAUAUCACGCAGAACCCCGAUUGCGAAGGCAGCAUACCGGCGCCCUACUGACGCUGAGGCACGAAAGUGCGGGUAUCGAACAGGAUUAGAUACCCGUGUAGUC
This 460-nucleotide ribosomal RNA is filed under the name uncultured bacterium. RNAcentral describes it as "partial 16S ribosomal RNA". It matches the Rfam family "Bacterial small subunit ribosomal RNA", at positions 338 to 795 of the family's 1533-position model. The record is from RNAcentral.